CACAACCAUUCCUGCAGACGCAUAGUAUUGUCAGGAGUCAAGAUCUCAAACAUGGGACACCAUCUUCUGUAUAAAUAUAGAACCAGAACAACCAAACCAAAACAACAUACUUCAAGUUGGUCUCGCUGUCCCAGGCUGCUAGCCAAACUCAUAAACCAGCUCACAACCCAACAUAACCAAUCAGCAAAUGUAUAAGUGUAUGCUAAAUUAAUGUUACUGAUCAUAACAUGAUAAUUAUAAUGGCAAACAUGACAGUUAAUAAAUGUAGAAUUUGUGGAAAAAAAAAAUCGAAUGGUCCAUCAUUCUUCAGUUUCAUUUGCCAACUUGAUCUAUUGCUAUAGUGCACAAAGUCUGUAUCAGUCAAGAGAGGUGCUUAUAAAGCUUCUGCUUCUUAUUAUUGUUUGUAAUAGGACCUCAAGCAUAGUCCUAAUGUAAAAGCUCAAAACAAGAUGAUUAACAGCAAGUGUACAAGUCAGUUUACACCAGGUUUGCAGGGCUACAGAUAACUGAUGUACAAGAAGGAUUUGCAUCCUUCACUAUAAUCUUUUAUCAGGAAACUUUUACCAGUACCAUGUGACUGAACAUAUCCUAAAUCUUUAGCAUUCUUCAUGGCCAUAUUAAGUAUUGACACUCACUUAUCAGAAGGUGAAAAAAAGAAAGUACAAAAUUGCUUGACUAAUUUGUUUCUUUGCUCGGUAAGUUGUCUCAUCUCAUAUCCAACCAGAAAGUAUUGCAUACAUAACAGAGAUCCAAAAGAUCAAGGACUCACCUGAAAGUCCAGCAAAAGCAAGGGGAUCAACAGGAACCCCCACACCCUCCACUGCAUAAGGCAAUACAUUUCCAAGGUCA
RNAcentral lists this unclassified non-coding RNA (849 nucleotides) under Hevea brasiliensis (rubber tree). Lineage: Eukaryota; Viridiplantae; Streptophyta; Magnoliopsida; Malpighiales; Euphorbiaceae. The record is from RNAcentral.